GUGGAUUAGAUACCCUGGUAGUCCACGCCGUAAACGAUGCUAACUCGUUUUUGGAUUUUCGGAUUCAGAGACCAAGCGAAAGUGAUAAGUUAGCCACCUGGGGAGUACGUCCGCAAGGAUGAAACUCAAAGGAAUUGACGGGGGCCCGCACAAGCGGUGGAUUAUGUGGUUUAAUUCGAUGAUACGCGAGGAACCUUACCAAGACUUAAAUGGGAAUUGACAGGUUUAGAAAUAGACCCUCCUUCGGGCAAUUUCCAAGGUGCUGCACGGUUGUCGACAGCU
This 282-nucleotide ribosomal RNA is filed under the name uncultured bacterium. Its description in RNAcentral is "partial 16S ribosomal RNA". It matches the Rfam family "Bacterial small subunit ribosomal RNA", at positions 773 to 1060 of the family's 1533-position model. The record is from RNAcentral.